AUGGAGAUCCUCCUCUGGGCAAUGGCAGAGGCGCUGGAGUCGUCGGAUCCUCGACAUCGAGCUUGCUGGUACGAGUACCGCUCUCGCCUCUCGUUGCAGAAUCCAGAGACGGAAGGGCCUGUGAACUUACGUAUUAUCGACGUUGUCAAUGAGGAAUCACAGGAGGAGGAUUCAGAUGAUGAGGAGGAGGAGGAAGGAGUUUCUGGGGAGGAGGAUGAGGAAGAAGUUUCUCACGAGGAGGAGGAGGAAGAGGAAGAAGUUUCUGAAGAGGAGGAGGAGGAAGAGGAUUCUGAUGAGGAGCAGGAGCAGGAGGAGGAUGCAGAAGACGUGGGCUGUCAGGGAGUUAUGGAGAUCAUCGCUCAUCCUUCAUAA
RNAcentral lists this ribosomal RNA (372 nucleotides) under Triticum aestivum (bread wheat). RNAcentral describes it as "partial small subunit ribosomal RNA". Lineage: Eukaryota; Viridiplantae; Streptophyta; Magnoliopsida; Poales; Poaceae. The record is from RNAcentral.